UAGGAUAGAGCAACUUGGUAGCUCGCAAGGCUUAUAACCUUGAGGUCGUGGGUUCAAAUCCCAUCUCUAAAA
Non-coding RNA from Dovyalis caffra, 72 nucleotides. The record is from the annotation of a GenBank genome assembly. Lineage: Eukaryota; Viridiplantae; Streptophyta; Magnoliopsida; Malpighiales; Salicaceae.